RNAcentral lists this ribosomal RNA (492 nucleotides) under uncultured bacterium. RNAcentral's name for it is "partial 16S ribosomal RNA". It matches the Rfam family "Bacterial small subunit ribosomal RNA", at positions 30 to 507 of the family's 1533-position model. The record is from RNAcentral.
AUUGAACGCUGGCGGCAUGCUUUACACAUGCAAGUCGAACGGUAACAGGCCUUCGGGUGCUGACGAGUGGCGAACGGGUGAGUAAUGCAUCGGAACGUGCCCAGAGGUGGGGGAUAACGCAGCGAAAGCUGUGCUAAUACCGCAUGUGAUCUGAGGAUGAAAGCGGGGGACCAGGCAGCAAUGUUUGGCCUCGCGCCUUUGGAGCGGCCGAUGUCAGAUUAGGUAGUUGGUGGGGUAAAGGCCUACCAAGCCGACGAUCUGUAGCUGGUCUGAGAGGACGACCAGCCACACUGGGACUGAGACACGGCCCAGACUCCUACGGGAGGCAGCAGUGGGGAAUUUUGGACAAUGGGCGCAAGCCUGAUCCAGCAAUGCCGCGCGCGGGAAGAAGGCCUUCGGGUUGUAAACCGCUUUUGUACGGAACGAAAAGGCUCUGGCUAAUACCUGGGGCUGAUGACGGUACCGUAAGAAUAAGCACCGGCUAACUACGUG